RNAcentral lists this ribosomal RNA (495 nucleotides) under uncultured bacterium. RNAcentral describes it as "partial 16S ribosomal RNA". It matches the Rfam family "Bacterial small subunit ribosomal RNA", at positions 28 to 507 of the family's 1533-position model. The record is from RNAcentral.
GAUGAACGCUGGCGGCGUGCCUAAUACAUGCAAGUAGAACGCUGAAGGAGGAGCUUGCUCUUCUGGAUGAGUUGCGAACGGGUGAGUAACGCGUAGGUAACCUGCCUGGUAGCGGGGGAUAACUAUUGGAAACGAUAGCUAAUACCGCAUGACAACAGUUAUUGCAUGAUAACUGUUUAAAAGGGGCAACUGCUCCACUACCAGAUGGACCUGCGUUGUAUUAGCUAGUUGGUGAGGUAACGGCUCACCAAGGCGACGAUACAUAGCCGACCUGAGAGGGUGAUCGGCCACACUGGGACUGAGACACGGCCCAGACUCCUACGGGAGGCAGCAGUAGGGAAUCUUCGGCAAUGGACGGAAGUCUGACCGAGCAACGCCGCGUGAGUGAAGAAGGUUUUCGGAUCGUAAAGCUCUGUUGUAAGAGAAGAACGAAUGUGAGAGUGGAAAGUUCACACUGUGACGGUAUCUUACCAGAAAGAGACGGCUAACUACGUG